AGGGUGACCCGGAGUUGAAGGGGGGGGCCUCGCAGGACCUCAGGGGGAAGAAGGACCCAGGGGCCUACCAGGGGUGGCAGGUCCUCAGGGAAUUAGAGGACUUACGGGACCUGUUGGGCCUGCUGGGGACAUGGGUCCUAAAGGAGAGGAGGGGCCUCCAGGGCCACAAGGGCCCAUGGGUGUAGGUGUUACAGGACCCCCGGGGAAAGACGGCAGAGUCGGUUCUAAUGGAAUCCCAGGAGCUGAUGGAAGAGAUGGACUGAUGGGGUCAAGGGAGUCAAGGGUGAACCUGGAGAGUGUAACUGUAUCAGCCCUCCACAUGCAGGAACAGGAGGAACAGGAGGACCGGUGAG
Long non-coding RNA from Salvelinus sp. IW2-2015, 353 nucleotides. RefSeq lists it as uncharacterized. Lineage: Eukaryota; Metazoa; Chordata; Actinopteri; Salmoniformes; Salmonidae. The record is from RefSeq and is a predicted model, not a curated record.